GGCUGGUCCAGUGGUAAGUGGGUUAUCAGAACUUAUUAGCAUUAGUGUCACUAAAGUUGGUAUACAACCCCCCUGGCUAAAUUUGACUGACUUUUA
Molecule: non-coding RNA, 96 nt
Filed under: Propithecus coquereli (Coquerel's sifaka)
Lineage: Eukaryota; Metazoa; Chordata; Mammalia; Primates; Indriidae
Source: RNAcentral